Molecule: ribosomal RNA, 455 nt
Filed under: Vermamoeba sp.
Lineage: Eukaryota; Tubulinea; Echinamoebida; Vermamoebidae
Description: SSU rRNA
Rfam family: Eukaryotic small subunit ribosomal RNA
Source: RNAcentral
UUUCUUGAUUCAGUGGGUGGUGGUGCAUGGCCGUUCUUAGUUGGUGGAGUGAUUUGUCUGGUUAAUUCCGUUAACGAACGAGACCUUAACCUGCUAAAUAGUCACGCGAACCGGUCCGCAAGGGCUCAAAGUUCGCGGCUCGACUUCUUAGAGGGACUAUUCGCACCCGCCAGCGAAUGGAAGUUUGAGGCAAUAACAGGUCUGUGAUGCCCUUAGAUGUUCUCGGCCGCACGCGCGUUACACUGACGGAGUCAACGAGCGUUUUUCCUUGCCCGACAGGGCUGGGUAACCUCCUGAAACUCCGUCGUGAUGGGGAUAGAUCAUUGCAAUUAUUGAUCUUGAACGAGGAAUUCCUAGUAGGCGCGAGUCAUCAACUCGCGCCGAUUACGUCCCUGCCCUUUGUACACACCGCCCGUCGCUCCUACCGAUUGAACGGUCCGGCGAGAACUCCGGGA